CGCACAUUGCGCCCUCUGGUAUUCCGGAGGGCAUGCCUGUUCGAGCGUCAUUUCAACCCUCAAGCCUGGCUUGGUGAUGGGGCACUGCUUCGAAAGGAGCAGGCCCUGAAAUCUAGUGGCGAGCUCGCCAGGACCCCGAGCGCAGUAGUUAAACCCUCGCUCUGGAAGGCCCUGGCGGUGCCCUGCCGUUAAACCCCCAACUCUUGAAAAUUUGACCUCGGAUCAGGUAGGAAUACCCGCUGAACUUAA
RNAcentral lists this unclassified non-coding RNA (249 nucleotides) under Phomopsis sp. RNAcentral's name for it is "partial contains 5.8S ribosomal RNA, internal transcribed spacer 2, and large subunit ribosomal RNA". The record is from RNAcentral. Lineage: Eukaryota; Fungi; Ascomycota; Sordariomycetes; Diaporthales; Diaporthaceae.